Molecule: non-coding RNA, 2241 nt
Organism: Triticum urartu
Lineage: Eukaryota; Viridiplantae; Streptophyta; Magnoliopsida; Poales; Poaceae
Source: RefSeq, a predicted model, not a curated record
GUCCCUCUCCUCUUUCCCUCAUCCACACAGCCCCCUCCCGAUUCCCCACCACCGCCACCCACCACCUCUUCCCAUGGCUCCUCCCACAUCUCACCGCCGGCCCUCCCCCUCCCCUUCUCUCACAUCACAGCUCCGGCAGCUGUCAGAUCCGCUGCAUCCCCCACCCAUCCACUCCUCUCGCGACCCAACUCUCUGUCUCAUGCGACCCUCACGCCGCGACCAACACCAUCGAUUCCGGCGACGUCCACCAGCUCGCAGCACACAGACGAGCUAGUCUCCGACCCCUCCAUCCUCUGGUCCGGCUGGAUCCGCCACUUCUGGUCUCCGGCGCUCACCCACAACCCCUCGCCUAUGGCUAGGGUUUCGGCUGCGGCGUCACGUCCAUCACCGGCUCGUCUCCGGCGGCUCCUCCUCGUCGGACAUCGCGCCCUCUCCACCCCUGGGUGGCACCCCCUAGCUAGGUGCGCUCGCGCGCGUUGGUCUGUAUGGCAUUGACCACGACCUCCUUUGUCGCAUCUCCGGCGCGGCCAUGCAUCCCGUGCAUCAUGUGAUGGCCUCCUCUGUCGCGCGAUGGUGGUAGCCAACCUGCACUGUGGCCGCUACAUCGCCUACGAUCUUCUUCAUGCAUCUCCCACCUGAUCGACGCCGACGCCACGGUCCUCGAGCAGAAUAGGGUGAGCUUGAUACCCUUCCAUUCUUCAUGUGAAUUAUUCAGGCUGUAGACUUUGAGCUGUUCAAGGUGUGGAUUGUUGUGUGGUUCCAGUACAAUUAUAACUGUACAGAUAUUUUUGUGUGCAUAAAAUCUGCAUUGUACAAUGUCCCUGAUAUUAUGCAUUUUAUUGAUACUCUACUAGAGUUGCUAUCUCUUGUUGUUCAUGGGUUCUGAUUCUGCUUCUACAGAUUUUGAAUUUUUCAUGUAAUAACAAGUAUACCGCUUAGUACUCCACAAAUAAACUAUUAGUGUGGGAGAUCUCUCAGUGAAGCUGUAUCAUAUUCUUUGUUAAUAUUUUGCAUGCCAUUCGAAGUUCACUUGGCAAUCAAGUAUUGUUUAGUACUGUAUUUGUUGGCACUUUGAGAUGAACCUGCAGCAUAAGCAUCAAGUUAGAUGAAAAAUCCUCCGGUGCCGAUUUUGAUUUAAACAUUGAGUUAAUAUAGUCCACAACAUAACAUAUUUUGAUUUGAACUUAUCCUAUGCUUAUGCCUAGUUUGUGUUAAUUAUCUUGAAGUUAGUCUGUCACUUCUUUACUGACAUUCUUGUUUGUUAAGGAAUGGUGUGGUACAGUGUCUAUGCUGGCUGAAUUUUCUUUACAUAAUUUUCAGCUGGUCGCUUGUACAGAAACUUUGAUCCAGAAAAACCAAAACCAAGUACGUGUUCACGCACACACAGCUUCCUCUCACAAAAAAAAACUAAGUGCCUGUCUCUCUCACUUUUGUUCACAUUUCUUUUAGAGUGCAGAAAUGUUUGAUCCAGAUAAACUAAAUACCUGUACAGGCGCACAACUUCCUCUCACAACAAAACAAACCAAGUACUUGUCUGUAUCAUGUUUGUUUGCUUUCUUCUUUGAGAAAUCUCAUGUUUGUUUGCUAGGCCAUAAAAUAGAGAGCCUUUAGCCUAGUUAGCCCCAUGCACUUACUGUUUGUUUGGUCCAGAACCAAUGGCUGAACCAACUGCUGCUUCUACUACACUUUUAGUUCUGUGAUGUGUGUUUGUUACUCAUCACUUGUAGGCUAACUUGAUUAUACUUUCAUUCGACACACUUUUCUUUGGACUAAUUUUGCUUGUUUUCACGUGUGUUGCCCACAUUUACGUGGUACCUUAGUAUAGUAGUGGUGUGUCCACGGAUGAUUGCUUGGAAAAUCAACUAAUAUUAUUACUCUUUGGAUUCAUUUGGGAUCUUACUUUUAUAAUUUAUUAUAAUUUUGAUUGUCUUCUGAUUCUACACAGGUUUGGCAGUUAAUCCGUGUUACUGGAGAUUGAAGAUUUUUAGCAGGAUUUCUUGGGUCUGGUUAGCUGCCUACAAUCGUUGGUGUUGGAGAAAAAAAUUAGCUAGUAGUGCAUUUUCUUUAAAGUCAUGUAACUCACUCUUAAAAAAAUACUUAUAUGGCUUUCUAGAUAUGCUCAUGAUGUUUUGAUAUUAAGCUUUGCUUUUUCAAAUCAGAUUAGAUUGUUGGAAAUCGGUAUUGUCAUGUAAACAAUUGCUAUUUUUUAAGGAAUAUAUGAUUUGGUUGUCGUGUUGUAAA